AGUGAACGCUGGCGGUAGGCCUAACACAUGCAAGUCGAACGGCAGCACAGUAAGGGCUUGCUCUUACGGGUGGCGAGUGGCGGACGGGUGAGGAAUACAUCGUAAUCUACUUUUUCGUGGGGGAUAACGUAGGGAAACUUACGCUAAUACCGCAUACGACCUACGGGUGAAAGCGGGGGAUCUUCGGACCUUGCGCGAUUGAAUGAGCCGAUGUCGGAUUAGCUAGUUGGCGGGGUAAAGGCCCACCAAGGCGACGAUCCGUAGCUGGUCUGAGAGGAUGAUCAGCCACACUGGAACUGAGACACGGUCCAGACUCCUACGGGAGGCAGCAGUGGGGAAUAUUGGACAAUGGGCGCAAGCCUGAUCCAGCCAUACCGCGUGGGUGAAGAAGGCCUUCGGGUUGUAAAGCCCUUUUGUUGGGAAAGAAAAGCAGCAGGUUAAUACCCCGCUGUUCUGACGGUACCCAAAGAAUAAGCACCGGCUAACUUCGUG
This 492-nucleotide ribosomal RNA is filed under the name uncultured bacterium. RNAcentral's name for it is "partial 16S ribosomal RNA". It matches the Rfam family "Bacterial small subunit ribosomal RNA", at positions 29 to 507 of the family's 1533-position model. The record is from RNAcentral.